CAAACGGCUCUUUUAAGAGCCAGACACACAAAUCAUUGAGCAAACG
Molecule: non-coding RNA, 46 nt
Organism: Gasterosteus aculeatus (three-spined stickleback)
Lineage: Eukaryota; Metazoa; Chordata; Actinopteri; Perciformes; Gasterosteidae
Source: Rfam